GGCAAAAGUCAAAAAAAUAAGAAGUUAAUUCAAUUUGAGGAAGGCAAUCAGAAAAUCGUUGAUAGGGGACAUCCAUAGAAGAUUAGAAGAAGCUUCUCUCCAAGAGGAGAGAGGUCCACAUAAGACAAAAGAAUAUUGUGAUCCUAAUUUGGAUUCAUUCAGUCCCAAUGGAGUGGUGGUCGCAAAAGAUGAAGUAUCCGGUGCGAAAAUUUUGUAGCCGGGUCACUACCCGCCUCGGCAAUCGAAAAUCAGGGCUACCUAGGCUACAACAUGAUAUAAGGAGUUGUGAGUACGAUGACGUGCAUGUGAUGUGGAGGAUGCUCAACCCAAAUGAGAAGAAGACGGAGACGAUUCAAUUGGGAGGAAGCUCCAAGAAGAAACGUUUCUCGAAUUUAUCAAAUUGGUUUAAACGAACGCCUUUUGUUUGCCGUGCCUUUUGAAUUUUGAACACCAUGUCGUAAACAUAUAAAUAUAAAUCAAUAUGCCCAUCAUAAUUUUGUGUUUAGAAAUUAAGGUGGAACAUAUAAUUUGGUUUAUUUAAAGAAAAAAGAAAAGAAAAGAAUUGUGGGAUCCAAAUAUUAGGUGGUGUCUCUGUUAUUCUCCAAUCGUCUCGGCGGUCAGCCGUCCGUAUGUAGAUAUCAACGGUUUAUGUCUUCUUCUAUUAUUAAAUAAACUUUAUUUUAUGUGUGCA
Prunus mume (Japanese apricot) is the source of this 691-nucleotide non-coding RNA. The record is from RefSeq and is a predicted model, not a curated record. Lineage: Eukaryota; Viridiplantae; Streptophyta; Magnoliopsida; Rosales; Rosaceae.